UCCGCGGUAGCUCAAUGGUAGAGCAGGAAACUGUUAAUUUCAAGGUUGUAGGUUCGAAUCCUACCCGCGGAGCCC
RNAcentral lists this transfer RNA (75 nucleotides) under Candidatus Roizmanbacteria bacterium CG_4_9_14_0_2_um_filter_38_17. RNAcentral describes it as "tRNA-Asn". It matches the Rfam family "tRNA". Rfam says of the family: Transfer RNA (tRNA) molecules are approximately 80 nucleotides in length. Their secondary structure includes four short double-helical elements and three loops (D, anti-codon, and T loops). RNAcentral also lists the same sequence under 1 other name. Lineage: Bacteria; Candidatus Roizmaniibacteriota. The record is from RNAcentral.